AUUGAACGCUGGCGGCAUGCUUUACACAUGCAAGUCGAACGGUAACAGGUUAAGCUGACGAGUGGCGAACGGGUGAGUAAUGCAUCGGAACGUGCCCGGUCGUGGGGGAUAACGCAGCGAAAGCUGCGCUAAUACCGCAUACGAUCUGAGGAUGAAAGCGGGGGACCGUAAGGCCUCGCGCGAUCGGAGCGGCCGAUGUCAGAUUAGGUAGUUGGUGGGGUAAAGGCUCACAAAGCCGACGAUCUGUAGCUGGUCUGAGAGGACGACCAGCCACACUGGGACUGAGACACGGCCCAGACUCCUACGGGAGGCAGCAGUGGGGAAUUUUGGACAAUGGGCGCAAGCCUGAUCCAGCAAUGCCGCGUGCAGGAAGAAGGCCUUCGGGUUGUAAACUGCUUUUGUACGGAGCGAAAAGGCUCUCUCUAAUACAGGGGGCUGAUGACGGUACCGUAAGAAUAAGCACCGGCUAACUACGUGCCAGCAGCCGCAGUAA
This 493-nucleotide ribosomal RNA is filed under the name uncultured bacterium. Its description in RNAcentral is "partial 16S ribosomal RNA". It matches the Rfam family "Bacterial small subunit ribosomal RNA", at positions 29 to 523 of the family's 1533-position model. The record is from RNAcentral.